UGGGGAAUAUUGGGCAAUGGGGGAAACCCUGACCCAGCGACGCCGCGUGAGGGAAGAAGGCCUUAGGGUCGUAAACCUCUGUUGUGUGGGAAGAAGAGCGUGACGGUACCACACGAGGAAGUCCCGGCUAACUACGUGCCAGCAGCCGCGGUAAUACGUAGGGGACGAGCGUUGUCCGGAUUUACUGGGCGUAAAGGGCGCGUAGGCGGUCAUUUAAGUCAGCUGUGAAAUGGUUUGGCUUAACCGGAUCAUGCGGUUGAAACUGGAUGACUGGAGUGCUGGAGAGGCAAGUGGAAUUCCCAGUGUAGCGGUGAAAUGCGUAGAUAUUGGGAAGAACACCGGUGGCGAAGGCGACUUGCUGGCCAGCAACUGACGCUGAGGCGCGAAAGCCAGGGGAGCAAACG
Molecule: ribosomal RNA, 404 nt
Filed under: uncultured bacterium
Lineage: Bacteria
Also listed under: 1 other name
Description: bacterial SSU rRNA
Rfam family: Bacterial small subunit ribosomal RNA
Source: RNAcentral